CGGAGAAGCUCUUGAUCGAAGCCCCGGUAAACGGCGGCCGUAACUAUAACGGUCCUAAGGUAGCGAAAUUCCUUGUCGGGUAAGUUCCGACCUGCACGAAUGGCGUAAUGAUGGCCAGGCUGUCUCCACCCGAGACUCAGUGAAAUUGAACUCGCUGUGAAGAUGCAGUGUACCCGCGGCAAGACGGAAAGACCCCGUGAACCUUUACUAUAGCUUGACACUGAACACUGGUCCUUGAUGUGUAGGAUAGGUGGGAGGCUUUGAAGUGUGGACGCCAGUCUGCAUGGAGCCGUCCUUGAAAUACCACCCUUUAAUGGCUGGUGUUCUAACGUGGGCCCGUGAUCGGGGUUGCGGACAGUGUCUGGUGGGUAGUUUGACUGGGGCGGUCUCCUCCUAAAGAGUAACGGAGGAGCACGAAGGUCAGCUAAUCCUGGUCGGACAUCAGGAGGUUAGUGCAAUGGCAUAAGCUGGCUUGACUGCGAGCGUGACGGCGCGAGCAGGUGCGAAAGCAGGUCAUAGUGAUCCGGUGGUUCUGAAUGGAAGGGCCAUCGCUCAACGGAUAAAAGGUACUCCGGGGAUAACAGGCUGAUACCGCCCAAGAGUUCAUAUCGACGGCGGUGUUUGGCACCUCGAUGUCGGCUCAUCACAUCCUGGGGCUGAAGUAGGUCCCAAGGGUAUGGCUGUUCGCCAUUUAAAGUGGUACGCGAGCUGGGUUUAGAACGUCGUGAGACAGUUCGGUCCCUAUCUGCCGUGGGCGCUGGAGAAUUGAGGGGGGCUGCUCCUAGUACGAGAGGACCGGAGUGGACGCAUCACUGGUGUUCGGGUUGUCAUGCCAAUGGCAUUGCCCGGUAGCUAAAUGCGGAAGAGAUAAGUGCUGAAAGCAUCUAAGCACGAAACUUGCCCCGAGAUGAGUUCUCCCUGACUCCUUGAGAGUCCUGAAGGAACGUUGAAGACGACGACGUUGAUAGGCCGGGUGUGUAAGCGCAGCGAUGCGUUGAGCUAACCGGUACUAAUGAACCGUGAGGCUUAACCUU
Molecule: ribosomal RNA, 1034 nt
Filed under: Klebsiella oxytoca 10-5244
Lineage: Bacteria; Pseudomonadati; Pseudomonadota; Gammaproteobacteria; Enterobacterales; Enterobacteriaceae
Description: bacterial LSU rRNA
Rfam family: Bacterial large subunit ribosomal RNA
Source: RNAcentral